AGAUCUGAAAUGUUUACCCUGUAGAAGAUGGAAUUAUUUCUAUUUGCAUGGAAAACUCAGAAAGCAAGGAAGAAAAGAGACAAGCUGGCAAUAUAGGAAUCUCUUCUAGGAUGAACAUUCUGCCGGUCUGGAAAAGAACAUACUUCCUUGCUGAUAGAAAGAUUCUACUCUUUCAUGCUCCAAACAGCUCUCUUCUAGAAAGCAGGUGCCCAGGAUACAUAAAGAGGAGAAGAUGCAGAAGAGAAAAUGCUAAAGGUGACUGAAUGCCAAAAGACUUGUAUAAUUGAUUGGCUUUCCUGGUUUUCUUCUCUAUUCCAAAGCAACCUGAUAGGGUGCUCCUUAUGCAGAAUGGGGGAACUUAAAAAGCUACUAAUAUGAUAAGUAUAUACACAUUGCACACACCCAGACACACACUCCCACAGUGUCAUGCUCACCCUCACAGUAACUGUUUUCAUGGCCCAAAAUUCAUGGCAAUGUCACAAACAAAGAGCUUUAUGUGAUAUGCCAUAUUACUUUCUAUUGCUGUAUAACAAAUUACCACAGUCAGUGGCUUACAGUAACACAAAUGUGUUAUCUCCAGGGAGUGGGCCAGGAGUCCAGACAGGCUUGGCUGGGUUUACUGAAGAGUUCACUUCCAAACAGGUUGUUGGAAGAAUGCAUUUCCUAUGACUACAGAAUUGAGGUCCCUGAAAAACCACAAUGAGAUACUAUCUCAUGCCAGUCAGAAAGGCAAUUAUUAAAAAGUCAGGAAAUAACAGAUGCUGGUGAGCCUGUGGAGAAAUAGGAACACUUUUACACUGUUGGUGGG
This 808-nucleotide long non-coding RNA is filed under the name Homo sapiens (human). Its description in RNAcentral is "HSALNT0107151". Lineage: Eukaryota; Metazoa; Chordata; Mammalia; Primates; Hominidae. The record is from RNAcentral.